RNAcentral lists this ribosomal RNA (335 nucleotides) under uncultured bacterium. RNAcentral's name for it is "bacterial SSU rRNA". It matches the Rfam family "Bacterial small subunit ribosomal RNA", at positions 29 to 355 of the family's 1533-position model. The record is from RNAcentral.
AGUGAACGCUGGCGGCGUGCUUAACACAUGCAAGUCGAACGAGAACGGAUUAUAGCUUGCUAUAAUUGUCAGCUAAGUGGCGCACGGGUGAGUAAUAUAUAGGUAACGUGCCCCAAAGAAGAGGAUAACAGAUGGAAACGUCUGCUAAGACUCUAUAUGCCUUUAUGACAUAAGUCAGCAAGGGAAAUAUUUAUAGCUUUGGGAUCGGCCUGUACAGUAUCAGUUAGUUGGUGAGGUAAUGGCUCACCAAGUACAAUGACGCUUAACNGGUUUGAGAGGAUGAUCAGUCACACUGGAACUGAGACACGGUCCAGACUCCUACGGGAGGCAGCAGU